This 252-nucleotide ribosomal RNA is filed under the name uncultured bacterium. Its description in RNAcentral is "partial 16S ribosomal RNA". It matches the Rfam family "Bacterial small subunit ribosomal RNA", at positions 524 to 776 of the family's 1533-position model. The record is from RNAcentral.
UACGUAAGGAGCGAGCGUUGUCCGGAAUUAUUGGGCGUAAAGGGUACGCAGGCGGUCUAGUAAGUCAGAAGUGAAAGGCAAUAGCUCAACUAUUGUAAGCUUUUGAAACUGCUAGACUUGAGAGAUUGAAGGGAAAGUGGAAUUCCUAGUGUAGCGGUGAAAUGCGCAGAUAUUAGGAGGAACACCAGUGGCGAAGGCGACUUUCUGGCAAUCAUCAGACGCUGAGGUACGAAAGCGUGGGUAGCAAACAGG